AUUGAACGCUGGCGGCAAGCUUAACACAUGCAAGUCGAGCGGAGAUGAGGUGCUUGCACCUUAUCUUAGCGGCGGACGGGUGAGUAAUGCUUAGGAAUCUGCCUGUUAGUGGGGGACAACAUUCCGAAAGGAAUGCUAAUACCGCAUACGUCCUACGGGAGAAAGCAGGGGAUCUUCGGACCUUGCGCUAAUAGAUGAGCCUAAGUCGGAUUAGCUAGUUGGUGGGGUAAAGGCCUACCAAGGGGACGAUCUGUAGCGGGUCUGAGAGGAUGAUCCGCCACACUGGGACUGAGACACGGCCCAGACUCCUACGGGAGGCAGCAGUGGGGAAUAUUGGACAAUGGGGGGAACCCUGAUCCAGCCAUGCCGCGUGUGUGAAGAAGGCCUUAUGGUUGUAAAGCACUUUAAGCGAGGAGGAGGCUACUGAGACUAAUACUCUUGGAUAGUGGACGUUACUCGCAGAAUAAGCACCGGCUAACUCUGUGCCAGCAGCCGCAGUAA
Molecule: ribosomal RNA, 501 nt
Filed under: uncultured bacterium
Lineage: Bacteria
Description: partial 16S ribosomal RNA
Rfam family: Bacterial small subunit ribosomal RNA
Source: RNAcentral